GAAAAUGCUCUCCAGCUCUUGCCCUGUCAAGAAUGGAUUAGAGGGAAACAAUACUGGGUGCAAGGAGAAUGUCAAGAAAACAGCAAAGUUCGUCUUAUUGAGGCAUCCAGUAAAGCUCCACAGAGAAAUCAUUCCCUCGUGUCUCUUCUGCACUCGGCCUUGGCAGGAUAAGAUGAAGAGGACGCAGUCCCUACCUCAGAGAGAACACUGGGAGGCAAUGUGGAGGAUGGAGCUGAGGAGUGCAAGGUUGCAGGCAAGGAAACCAGACAGGGGCCUGUGCUGUGCUAGGGAAGUGAGGAGUGCCUGGACCUAGCCAUGAUAGCAAGAAUGGAAGGCGGGAACCAGGUGUGAGGUAAGACUGGCUGGAUCAGAGAGAUCUGACUUUUUAGGAGCUCCAUAAAUAGCCAAGGGGUGAAGAAACCAAUAUGUAGAAGGAAUUCUUGGACAACGUUGCUUGGGCUAUGGCAAGUGGAGUCAUGAUAAGCCAUAUUCUUGGAGAACUUUUCCCAUUAAAGGCUGUUUAUCAAACCAUAGGAAGAAAAAUGAGAAACAGACAUAUUUCUAAAGUAGCACAUCAUUUGACUUUUAUGAUUAGUUGGGGGAUUUUGUUGGUAGUGAUGGUUGGGUAGAGGUCAAGUCUACCUUCUCAUGUAAGCAAAGCAUAAACAUUUUAAAUCAUCCACUUAUAAAAACAAAAGCAACUGAAAACAACAGCAAACUUGAUUCAGGUAAUCCAAUGGAAGCAAACACACCUGAUAAAGGAGAGUGUCACUGAUAAAACUGUACUUGAUAGUCGUACUUAGAGGGUUGCUGUAUCUUAAACAUUUUAAUUUUUCAUCUUAAACUCUGCGUUUAUAAAAAUUAAAUUUCACUUGGAAUUAAGAGGCCAUCUCCAUCAGCAACAGGAUAAAUUAUUAAUAUUGUAGGUCUUCAAACAUAUAUGAAAACAUUAAAUUAUCUGGAUUUAAAAUAUAUGAUCUAAAAUAGCAGAGGGCAUAUGUGGCUGAUUAGGUUAAUCCCUUUCUUUUGAGUUUGGUUUUCUUUGAUUCCCUCCCAUUACUGCUUCCAAGAGUCUACUUUAAACACACACUUAAAGCCUAAGAAAGUCUAAAUAAGUCCCAAUUACAGGUACAAGAUUAUUUCCUGGAACUAAAAAAUGUCAAUGAAUGUCUUAUCCUAGAAGAGUAAGCAGUAAGACUUCUCUUCAAUUGCCAGCUAAACACUUAAGUGUCCUAGCCCAGUCUUCCCGGAAAAGCUACAGGAAAGAAACCAAACAUACUUCUCAUUACCCCAAGUUCUUGGAAAGAUAUUUAAUGAAGUCUUGCAAGUAUGCAUUUAAAUGGAAAUGUCUGAAAAACUUGCUUUUACUAAUGAAUGAGAGGAAACAUCAGCAGUAAACAUUUCUUAUACUAUAAAGAUUUCAUUUGUAAAUAAUGAGAAUCAAAAUUGGCUACGAUCUCACCAUUUAGGCAUAUUUGCAACAACAUUGAAGGAAAAAAAUUCAGUACCACCUGGUUGAUUUAAAGGAAAUUGUGAAUUAUCACUUUAAAAUUCACCCAGGCAUGAAUGAGUAAAAAGCAUAUGGCAGCUCUUGGUUGGUGUGACCAUGGCUGCCAUUUUAUGUGUCACAGUCUGGUUACAACUUUAAGUUUGUGUGCUCUUGAACAUGGUGGGUUUUUUCUUUUUUUUUUCUUUUUGAGACAGGGUCCUGCUCUGUCGCCCAGGAUGGAGUG
RNAcentral lists this long non-coding RNA (1733 nucleotides) under Homo sapiens (human). Its description in RNAcentral is "HSALNT0372670". The record is from RNAcentral. Lineage: Eukaryota; Metazoa; Chordata; Mammalia; Primates; Hominidae.